GAAAGCUUAAUAGAAACAAAAGGCUAGAGUAUCCCGAUUCAUCGGGAGGGUGACCGGUUCGAAUCCGGUAUUCUCCA
This 77-nucleotide transfer RNA is filed under the name Flavobacterium panici. Its description in RNAcentral is "tRNA-OTHER". The record is from RNAcentral. Lineage: Bacteria; Pseudomonadati; Bacteroidota; Flavobacteriia; Flavobacteriales; Flavobacteriaceae.